GAGGGUAUAGCUCAAGCGGUAGAGUGCCUGCUUAGCAUGUAGGAGGUCCUGGGUUCAAUCCUCAGUGCCACCU
This 73-nucleotide transfer RNA is filed under the name Camelus bactrianus (Bactrian camel). It matches the Rfam family "tRNA". Rfam says of the family: Transfer RNA (tRNA) molecules are approximately 80 nucleotides in length. Lineage: Eukaryota; Metazoa; Chordata; Mammalia; Artiodactyla; Camelidae. RNAcentral also lists the same sequence under 1 other name. The record is from Rfam by way of RNAcentral.